This is a long non-coding RNA of Arachis duranensis, 557 nucleotides long. RefSeq lists it as uncharacterized. The record is from RefSeq and is a predicted model, not a curated record. The transcript is spliced from 3 exons. Lineage: Eukaryota; Viridiplantae; Streptophyta; Magnoliopsida; Fabales; Fabaceae.
UUCCAAUGAAGACUUUGGUGAUGGGAUCACGUCAGCAAUAGAUUUCUACUGCUCAGUUGACAAAGUCAAGGGAGUAGAUGGGAAAGAUCGUGUGGUCCUGACAUUUGAUGGAAAAUUUUUGCCAUAUUCGGAGCAGAAAUCAGAGCACAUGGUUUCAAGACAAAGGCCACACAGAAAUUAAUGAGUGCCGCGAUGCGUCAACCGAUACCAAAAUUGUCCGUCUUUCCGCACAGUCAUUCCUCUCUGCCUGUGUUUCGUAUUACUGCAUGAUGUUUUUGUUAGCUGUUGUCUUGUUUGUGCGGCUUAUGUGUGUUAAAGCCAGAAUAAAAGGUAAGUCCUAAAAUAUUUUUGGGUGUCUCUAGCUUGACCCAAAACAAAAUAAUGUACAAGUUUUUAGACUAGCCAAUCUUGGCCGUGUAUGGCUUUUGGGAUUAAUGGCGUUUGUAUCUUCUUAAGUCUUUUAACAGUAAAUAAGCUUUUAUUGAAGUCAAGGAAACUUAAAAAUGUUCAUCCUUAUUCCGUCCAACAUUGUAAAGUAUCUGAAGUUUGGUGUUGAA